Molecule: ribosomal RNA, 319 nt
Filed under: uncultured Prevotella sp.
Lineage: Bacteria; Pseudomonadati; Bacteroidota; Bacteroidia; Bacteroidales; Prevotellaceae
Description: partial 16S ribosomal RNA
Source: RNAcentral
GGAGUCUGGGCCGUGUCUCAGUCCCAAUGUGGCCGUUCAACCUCUCAGUCCGGCUACCAAUCGUCGCCUUGGUGGGCCGUUACCCCGCCAACAAGCUAAUCAGACGCAUCCCCAUCCCUUACCGCUGAGCUUUAUUCACCGUCAGAUGCCAUCUAGUGAAACUAUCAGGAGUUAAUCCGGUUUUCACCGGGCUAUGCCUGAGUAGGGGGAAGGUUGGAUACGCGUUACUCACCCGUGCGCCGGUCGCCAUCAAGAUUAGCAAGCUAAUCUCAUGCUGCCCCUCGACUUGCAUGUGUUAAGCCUGUAGCUAGCGUUCAUC